AUUGAACGCUGGCGGCAGGCCUAACACAUGCAAGUCGAGCGGAGGAAGGAAGCUGGCUCCUGGAUUGAGCAGCAGACGGGUGAGGGAGGCCUAGGAAUGGGACUGUGCGUGAUGGAUAGGGUCAAGUAACGGGAGCGGAUGCCACAUACGCCCAGAGUGGGAAGAUGAGGGAGCUGCGGACCUCGGCCUAUCGGAUGAGCCUAGGUCGGAUUAGCUAGUUGGUGGGGUAAGGGCCUACCAAGGCGACGAUCCGUAACUGGUCUGAGAGGAUGAGCAGCCACACUGGAACUGAGACACGGUCCAGACUCCUACGGGAGGCAGCAGUGGGGAAUAUUGGACAAUGGGCGAAAGCCUGAUCCAGCCAUGCCGCGUGUGUGAAGAAGGUCUUCGGAUUGUAAAGCACUUUCAGUUGGGAGGAAGGGCAGUAAGUUAAUACCUUGCUGUUUUGACGUUACCAACAGAAUAAGCACCGGCUAACUCCGUG
RNAcentral lists this ribosomal RNA (484 nucleotides) under uncultured bacterium. RNAcentral's name for it is "partial 16S ribosomal RNA". It matches the Rfam family "Bacterial small subunit ribosomal RNA", at positions 29 to 507 of the family's 1533-position model. The record is from RNAcentral.